Molecule: long non-coding RNA, 20068 nt
Filed under: Vitis vinifera (wine grape)
Lineage: Eukaryota; Viridiplantae; Streptophyta; Magnoliopsida; Vitales; Vitaceae
Description: long non-coding RNA (VVIN_LNC003424)
Source: RNAcentral
AUAAUUUUUCAUAAGAAUUUGAUGCAUGUUUGAAAUAGAUAUAAAUAUCUUUUUACUUGAUGAUGAAGUUUAUGGUUACUAAGUCUACCUGAAACAUGCUCUAGGAUGCAAACUAUGGAAGCAUUCAAUGAUACAGUUUAAGGUUUUUGUAUAUUUCUCCCAUAAAUAUGCUUUACCUUGGAAGAUAGAAGUUGGGUUUAUCUUCAUUGACAUUUCUUCCUUAUAUAGGAAAAGAAUCUCCAUGACCUCCUUGCCUUUGAAUUCUUCUUAAACUUGUGAGUGCUAUAUAUUGUUGCAUCAAGUGAUUUUUAUUUUUUUCCGAGUUCCUGUGCUUGGUACGAAACCGAUGAACGAAUAGAAAUUAAAAAUUCAAAAAUCUGUCAGCAGAGAGUAAUAAUUAUUUUGUUUAGGACUCUUUUCUAAUUCUCAUCAUGAGGAGAGUGGCACUCUUUCAAUGCCUUAGGCUGCAGCUUUUGAAAUUUUCAAUUAUGCUUGAUGAAAGCCUUUUAGAACUAGUGUUUUCCCAUUACACCCAUUUGGAAUUUUGUUAAACGUAUUAUGGAUGCCUUUUUAUGUUAAGGGUCUAUACAUCUUUUUCAUUCACUACAUAAUAGGAUUGGAGGCUUUGAGCCAAGCCUACUGCUUGUUACUUCAAUUUUGUCUAACUAACGUUUCAUUUUUCCUGUGGCGUGAUAUCAAUCUGUUGGCUGAUAGCUGGUUUGGAAUAUACAUUGCCUGAGCAACAUCAAUGAUGAAGUGUUUGAUGGAACCACAACUCUUUAUGGUCCAUUGAAUGAGUCUGUGUUGGUUAGGCAAAUUUAUUCAAUUGGCAUUUCGACUACUGUUCUCAGCUUAUAGUCAUGCAAGACUAAAAAUUCGUCUUUCGGUCUACUCACUAUCACUAUUGCUAUGAAACAUCAUUCUUAAACUGUUAGGCUUAAAAUUUUUUAACUUAUCCCAUGAAAUACCGACAUCAUAGAGUGUCAGCUCAUAGAGUUUCUAAUGUUCCUGUCCAACUACCAGGUGCCAUUCAGUGUUCACAAUGCAAAGGUGAUGGAGUUAACUCUGUAGACCACUUCAAUGGACAGUUUAAAGCUGGUGGAUUAUGUUGGCUUUGCAGGUAACAAGAUCAAAUUGUUUUUAUUUUAGUGCAUUAUACUGUGUUUUAAGCUAAAACUACAGCAAUAUAACAUGAUGUAUAUCUACAGUAAUAUAACCUCCACUCCCCAACUCCCUCUCUUCCCAUUGGUUCCCCUGCUUUCAAGCUUUUGUAUUUUGUUUGAAACAAAUAGAGCCCCAGUGUCAGUGUUUUGUUAUUGAUAUUUGAAACCUUUAAACUAUUCACUUAGGUAGGGUUGCCCCAUGGACCAUGCCUUAUCAAUCUAAGCACAUGCUAGAUUCCUUUGGACAACUUCACAUUUCAAAAUCGCUAUCCUGCUCUUUAGAUGGAAUGAAAUUCAUAUAUACAUGUAUAGAAUACGUGUUGUUGACAACUUCAAUGCUCCUCUUAUAUAUCAGUCUCUUCUUUUCACCCAUGCGUUUCCACCGUCCCUUGUGCAAGCCAUGGAGAGUGGUUGAUAUAGAUAUCUCAUCUGUGUACCCAUUACCUGAUUCUCACCUAAAAUUCUUGUUCCUUGCAGAGGCAGAAGGGAGAUUUUAUGUGGGGAUUGCAAUGGAGCAGGCUUUAUUGGAGGAUUCAUGAGCACAUUUGAUGAGUAGUUAGUUCUAUGGAACUGGAAGUUGAAUAUGUUGCAGUGGUCAGGAGGAGUGAGCAUGUGGGUCAAUUUGUGUUCAGCCUUGAGUGGUGUGUCAUGGAUGAAUCUGACAUUUUCUUAGCUUGAAAUGUGAUACUUUUCUUCAUGGAGCUAGAUUCUUGCGGAAUUUUUAUAAAGAGCAAACAUGGUUUGUCUAUUUUCUUCGUAACCUCCUAAUUAUGGUUUUAAGUUGUCUAGGCGCGCCAGGUAAGGGUCGAACCUACGACUUUCUGCUAUUACAACUAUUUUCAAACCACUUGCUAUUAGAAAAUUUUCUUUCUAAAAAUACCAAUAAAGUUGUCCUUGUAUGUUUUAAUUUCAAGUUAGCAUACGUGUCUCCCAAUAUGUUGUAAGGGAUUAUACAACCAAUACUAUUACACUUCUAAAGCACGUUUAUUAAUUUCAUAAUUUAAUUUAAAUUAUUAAUUAUAUUAAAUAUAUUUAAUGAAAUAACUUAAUAUGUCGAUAAUGAAUCAAAAUAGUCUUAUGACCUCGGUACUUUAACAUGAAAGGAAAGUAAAUAUGUUAAUCCACUAAUUUAGAAGGAAAAAAAAAGUACAUAAGGAAAUUUUAUCAAGCAGUCUUACUAUUUAAAAUAAAAAUUAUAUAAUAAAUUCUAAAUUACGAACUUAAUAAAUUAAUAGGUAUUAAAUUUUAUGAAAAGACUACGUUGAAAAAGGAUCAAUCAGUUCAAAAAUAUAAUAUUAAAUGCAAAAUAUUUUAAUUUAUUUGCAUAUUUUAUUUUCUAUAAAUCCAAUAUAUAUUUAAUUCAAAUUAGUAUAAAAUUUAUUCAAUUUCAAGUCAACAUGUGUAAGAAAAAAUCACCCAAAAUAUAAGAAAUUACACGGAAGAUACUUUCUUAAAUAAAAUAUUUUCUUUUAAUGAUUCAAAUGCUAAAUACGUUACAUAUUUUUCAACUUACAUUUUCUUUUCAUAAUCAAGUGGAAUGUUUAAUUUAAAAUUGUUGAUAAAUUCUAGCUUCAUUUUUACAAAUGGAUAGGGUUGGAUUGAAUAUAUUAAAGAUAAGAAAUCGAAUUAAUCUUGAAUAUUGUUUUCGUAUGUGUCCAAUUUCUUGAUAUAUAAGAAAUUGAACAUGUGGGGUAAAGGUCAAUGGGGCAGUCACGAAGCAUGAUUCCCUGCAGCUGAUUCGAUUCAAUAAUAGAGAAAUGAUGAAGCAGUACUGCAAUUUUCAGAAGCCAUGCAUGAAUGGGCUUGUGAGAGUCAGACAAGCUUCAAUUUAGAAAUGGGGUCAUUUUCAAUAGGGCUGUUAUUGCGUGAAGCUUUGGUGCUUCCCAUUGGCUCCAAACCCAACUCACGACUCAAAACUCAAGCUCCUCAAGCAAGUGAUUUUUGCUUGUUAGUUUGUCAAAGAUAAUAAAUACAGAUUUUUUGUGCUUAUGAGAACAUUUGAACACACCUUUGUUGUUACUAUAAUUUUCUCGACAAAAAUACAAAUUUUGUAACAAUAUUUUUAGAUUUCGUAAAUAUUGGUCAUCUUUAGUAACUCUAAUAUAUUUUAUUUUUUAUUUUUAAAAAUAAAAAAUAUUAUGGAGUAUGGAGUGGACACUUGGAAAGUGCACCCAGUUUUAUUAAUAGAAAGCGGAAAAGGAUAUCCAUGAUCGCAUGCUUGUAAUUAUAUGGAAGUGGGCGAGCCGAGGCUCCCCCCUGGCCUGGUCAUGGCUCCUAUGGAUACAUCAUAUGCAUAUACUAUAUACUAUUACCUUUUAUUAUUCUAUUUGAUUUUAUAUGAUGGAUUAAUUGGACUUUGAGCAUGUCUUUCGAAUCUCUCCUUGAGUACCAGUCUUGACCCCGAUGCUACUCAUUUUAAUCAUGGCUUUUGGAAACUCAAUAUAAAAUCUAAGCCCCAGUAUGCCUCUUCCGUUACCAGCAUAAUUCCUAACGAUCUUCCGAGUUUCGCUAUCUCCAAAAAGCCUUUGAUCCGACUCCAGGACUCCAUUCCCAUCCCGCACAUUCUUGAAGAAAUUGACAUCGAAUUUGGUCUGGCUAUUUGUAUCCAGCGCCACCCUUGUGGAGCCAUUGCCACCUUCAGGACAAAGGGCUUGCAGCUGAGCAAGGAAAGCUGGGUUUAUUGUUGGGUCUGCAUUUCCCCUUGUCGUGAAGUUGUAGAGACGGUAUUGGAAGACCGAACAGUUCGUUUGCCCAAUGGUGUGUGCCCCUGCACAAACAUAUAUAGUGAACCAAACAUGCACAUAUGCCAUCUAAUUAUCAAUUUUUUUUUUGUGGAUAAAUCAGAGAGAGAAAAUAUAUACCAACUAGUGUUACAAGGUCAUUAGUGUUGAGGCCUUUAUCAGCAAACUUCUGUCUUAGGACAGGAAUAGAAUCAUUAGGAGCAGGGAAAUUAGAGGCAUCCGGGGAUGAAGAUACGUUCGUCUCAUCUCGUCUUCCUGUGGGCACUGACCAACUUGGACCACCACUCUGGACAUAAUUUGAAACAAAAUUAAUUGGCUUACCCCCUUGAUCACAACCAAAUAUACUUCACUAGGGUUUAUAUUAUAUUUGAUGAAGAGUACUUUACCAAGCCAACAGCAUCACGAGCAGCUAGUGCUAGUAUAUCAGCACAUGAUACCACCCCGGGGCACAAGGCCUCCAGUUGAGUUUUGGCGUCAUCUAUCACAUCAAAUCCUCUUAAUCCUGCGUUGGGCAAUGCAUCUGUCUCACCUGAAGCCUCAGUUAUCAGUAUCGAAGCGUCGCAGCCCUGUUCAGAUCAAUCAACUGAAGGUCCAUGAUCAAUUAAUAUAAGCAAACAUGGAAGAAGUAGAAAAAGAAAAAGAACCUGAACAAAGCAAUCUUGGAAAUGAAGCCUAAGAACACCAGCUGCAAUUGUAGGAUCCUGCUUGAAGUGCGUUUCAACAGUGGACCUGACUGUGGCCUCAGCCUUUGGGCAUGAAGAAGAGUAAAACCCGGAUGUCAAUCCUUGUUGAGUUUCUGCAAACAAACUUAAAAUCACUGCCAACAAAACCAGCCAUUUAGGUUCCAUUUGCACCAUUAACAAGUAGAAAAGAGAAGCAAAACUCUCAGUUGGCUCUCGUCUCUAUCUCCUCACGACAAACCUUGCAUGUCCACUAUUGAGCAUUGAUCUUAUAUGAAUUCCACCAAGCUGACUUUUGCUUGUCGAUCACUUUCAGUCAUUCAAUCCGGGCUUCUCAUCACUCCACAAUCCUUUAGUGGAGGCGUGUGGGGGCCAUUCAAGAUGGUGAUGAUCAUCUUCCUUUUUUGACUUUUGUUUGCGGAGAGUUAGGAGAUGGAUGAUUUUCACUUUGAGUAUAUAUCAUAUCGUAACUUAACAUAUCAUGUACAUUGGAAGAAAUUAUAAAUGGAGCCUUUCCCUCUCGUCCUUGCUUCCUUUUCUUUAUUCCUCCCAUGCGUGUUGGACGUCUCUUUCUCUCAGUUUCUUUGGCUUCUCUUUCCUCCUUUUUCCCUUCCAUUUCUUCACUCUGUUCAUGCUUAGCUUCAACUUCUUGUUUAUCCAGACCGCGCACAGGAUACAAAAUCUGUCCAAUUUUAUUUUUUAAAAAAACAUAAGAUGCUAUUUGGUAAUCUGAUCAUGAUUUGCAGGCAAAGGUUGUGUUUUUCAGCCUGACUAAAAAAUUGUGGAUUUAGGGCUCGUGAAAUUUAAAUCGAAUGGCACAAAAGCAAAGAGACCCCUAGAACAGAUCCAGAAAACACAGGGAGCAAAAAAAAGCAUUUUUUUUUUUUGUUUUCCUUGGGGGUUUUGCAUGGAUUUUCUGGGAAAUCUAACGAGGAUGAAUUUUCCCGGAAAUCGAACGGGGGAUGGAUUUUCUUGGGAAUCAAACGGGGGUUGCAAAAAAAAUAAUAAUAACACGGUUAGAUUAGCACCUGCGAGGAUUGAGAGUGGCAGAGGAAAAUAGGGCCUUUUUAGGGAUUCUCUCGUUGGAGGGCAACUUCAGAAGUGGGCUUCUUGAUGCCCGAGGCCCCGAGUGAGAGAAGUGGGUGGCCCUUUUGAGUUUUCCUCUCUCUAUAUAAAUAAUUAUUAAUUAUCAAUCUUUAUUUUGAUUAAAUCACUACCAUGGCUUGAAAUUUCCAUUUUUAUCGAUGAAAUUUAAUGAAUUAAAAUUAAUUUGAUAAAAUAAAUUAUUAAUAAUUUUAAUUAUUUAAAUAAUUAAUGUUAAUAAAAAAAAUUGUUACCACAUAAUUUUAAUAAAAUUUUAGAAAUUAAUUCUCAAAUAAAAUAUUUUAUACGAAUUAAUUUAAUUUUUCAUUUAAAAUGUGAUAAAACAUGUUUCAAUAAAAAUAUUUUAAAAGUUUUAAAAUAAAUAUUGUCUUCAACAAGAUGGACUUCCUUCAUCUAACAAUAUGAUGAAACCGCAUCGAUCUUCAUUUUGAUACUAAGACUAUUGCAAUAUCAUAUGUAUUAUAUUUAUGUAUAAAUUGUUUUUAUUCAAUAAAAUUAAAUAUUUCUUAACUUAAUUCUAACUUUAUACACUUCCAAAAUUUAUAUUUAUUAUUAUUAAAAUUUAAAUAUUGAAUUUAUCAAUAUAUUUAUGUUUAUUGAUGUUUUUCUUCCUGAUCAUAUUUAUGUCAAUUAUACUUAUAAAAUAACUUAAAAAUAUGUAUUUUUACUUGUUUGAUAAUUUUUUUUGGAGUUUUUCCAAACAUUCCUAUAAAUUUUAAUUAAUUUUUGUUUCACCGAUAUUUUUCCAAUAUUUUUUAUAUAUUUGUAAAAUCGAAGUACCAAUAUAUCCAUAAUUAUUACUACUUUCAUCAUUACCUAAAACUUAUAUUUUCAACCUAAAGCUCGCUUGCCAUUGCAAGGUGGCCCGAGCACGACCCAUUUGCAUAUCAAUGGGUCUAGAUUACAAAAUCAGGAUAUCCAAGAACAUAUUGUUUGCGACCUUGGCCAUCCAAUAUUGUUCUCAAAAUUACUCUGCUAUAUCAUUGUUAUUUGUAUUAUUUUAUUAUUUUAAAAAGUAUUAAAUUUUAAAUGAAGAACAAAAGGAUGUUUGUUGGUAAUUCAAGUAAAGAAAAAUGAUUUCUAGUUGUCUAAAUUAGUAGAAGAAAUCAACAAUUCUAAUUUAUUCCUUUUUUUGAAUUUAUAUAUAUUUCAUAAUUUUAAAAUUAACAAUAUAAGGAAUAUAAAUAGAAAAAUUCAAAUAAAUAAAAAUAUUAUUUGCCCCAUGAGCCAACAAUCGAUUUAUAUUAUUGUCUUUAAAAUUCUUAAAACUUCUUCUUUCUUUUAUUUUUAUUUUUAAUUUUAUUUUGAAUCUCUACUCUCUUUGCUCAAAUCAUGAAUGCCCUAAACCUAAAAAAGUGAACUCAUUCAUCUCUUCAUCAUGUCACUAUCUUUACAUUUUAAGAAAUUUAUGAUGAUAUGAAUAAAAUCUUUGAAAUUAAAUAAAACAAAAUCAUUCAAUUAGCAUUUACAAAGUAUUGGAAAAUAUCUCAGAUUCCUAAUUAAUUAUUACCUAACUCAAUAUAUUAUUAUAAUAUUACAUUUUUUGAUAAAAUAAGAAAAUUUAUUAUAAAUAUUUUAAGUCAUGAAUGAAAAAGAAAUUAUGAAAUAGAGUUGAAUUUGUAAAAACUAUAUGAGAUUGGAUAGAUAUGUGAAGAAAAAUGGAAGAUAUUCGAAGAAGGGAAAUAUGUGAUGUGGAGAAUAUAAUAGUUGUACCUUGUUUUUGUUUUCUAUAAUAAUUUUCCAUGCUAUAAUAGAAUAAUUUUUUCUAUAUUCAGAAAUAAGAGAAUUAUUUAACUAUACCACAAAAAACAUCAUAGUGGACAUAAACUAGAUAUAAUUAUUCGGUUACCAAAACAUUUUAUAUUUUCCACUCAUUUUAUCCACACAUUAAACCAUGAACCCCUAGUUGUUUCAUGUAUCUGUCGGUCUUUCUUGCAUCUCCAUUCAUCACAUAUAAUAUAUUAUGUUAAAAAAUAUUCUAUGCACUAUUCUCUACAAAAAGAAUAUAUUCUAUUAGGAAUUUGGUAUACUUUACCUCAAUCAACCAGCAUAAGGAUGAUCAAUUUCCCGGUGUCAGCAGAUUCACAAGAAAUAUGUAUAUACUUCUAUGGUAUAUGGCAUACAUCAUAUGUAUAUACUAUUACCUUUUAAUAUUCUAUUUGAUUUGAUUCGAUGGAUUGAUUGAACUUUGAGCAUGUCUUUCGAAUCUCUCCUUUGAGUACCAGUCUUGACCCCGAUGCUACUCAGUUUAAUCAUGGCUUUUGGAAUUAACUCAAAAUAAAAUCUAAGCCCCAGUUAGCCUCUUACGUUACCGGCAUAAUUCUUAACGAUCCUCUGGGUUUCGCUAUCUCCAAAAAUCCUUUGAUUCGACUCCAAGACUCCAUUCCCAACCCGCACAUUCUUGAAGAAACUCACAUCGAAUUUGAUCUGGCUAUCUUUAUCUAGUGGCACCCUUGUGGAGACAUUGCCACAUUCGGGACAAAGGGCAUGCAGUUGAGCAAGGAAAGCUUGGUUUAUUGUUGGGUCUGCAUUUCCCUUUUCCAUGAAGUUGUAGAGACGAUAUUGGAAGAACGAACAGUCCGUUUGCCCAAUGGUGUGUGCCCCUGCACAAACGUAUAUACUGGACCAAACAUGCAUAUAUGCCAUCUAAUUAUCGAACUUUUUUUUUUUUUUUGUGGAUAAAUUAGAGAAAGAGAAAAUAUGUACCAACUAGUGUUACGAGGUCAUGAUUGUUGAGGCCUUUAGCAGCAAACUUCUGCCUUAGGACAUGAAUAGAAUCAGUAAGAGCAAGUAAAUUAAGUGCAUCAGGGGAUAAAGAUACAAGCCUCCCAUCUCGUCUUUCUGUGGGCACUCUAUUCAUACGUAGCUUCAGUUUGAUGAACCUACAUACAUGGAUCAACUUUUUGCAAAUAUACCAUUGAAUUCAAUCCAAAAUAUGUACUUUCAAAUAAAGGUUGAAGUGUGCACAUAUGUGAAAGGAAAUUGAGGAAAGGCGGCGUGUGACCAAAAGAGAAAGACACUAGUGGGAUUUUUGUGAUGAAAGUGGCCCUCUGUUAGCCCAUUAGACCUUUGACUCGAACAAUGGAACAAAGGGCUUCUUGGGUUGGCCCUGCACCCAUGGGGACCACAGGAAUAAAGCAAGGAGAACCUAGAGAUUUGAUACGAGGGCCCUCAAGAAUCUAAGUAAGUGAGGAGGCAAAAAUCGAUGCUAGUAGACCACACAUGCACAGGCCAUUCGCAUACCUUCAUGCAUGCUCGCGUGCACGCUUGUAUGCACGAUUGCUGGCACACGUGUGCACGAUUGUUUGCAUGCCCACGUGCAUGAUUGCUUGCAUGCUUAUGUGUAUGAUUGCACACAUGCUUGCGUGCACUUGAACGCAUUCCCGCAUGUGCACUAGUCCUCGCCCUUGCACUCAUCCCACACACUUGUGCAUCUUUAGCACCUAACAUACACCCUAAUGCAGCAAUAUUGAUGGCACAAAUGUUGUAUAAGGAUUAUGUGGAUAUUUAUUUAUGUAUUUAAUAAAUAUUUCAUUAUGUCUCCUCAAGGUGAUUUGAUAUCUCCUCAAGACAUUUCUAAAGCGACUUGUAAUGCUUUUUAAAGGGGGAUAAGUGACUCAAGGGAUCCCCAAGGUCAGACCUUGGUUGUAUCAAGAGGGAACCACGGCAUGGCCUUGGGCAUGCCUAUGAUACUCAAAUGACAUAGUAGCACUCACACAUGGCUCUAUGACAUAUGUGGCAUGCAACCCAUGGCCACAAUGGCACGAGGGUGGUACUACCUAUCCCUCCCUAAUGUUAGCAUGAGGAAGCUCAAAGCUUAUGCACUGAGACGAUUCAAGAAGCCAUUGACAUAAUUCAAUGGUUCGAUAGGGUGGUAAGGCACACAACCAACUUAGAUCGAAUGCCUGUGCAGGGCACAGGAGCGCAAUGUCCUCUACAUGAGGAUGAUUAGGCCAUGGUGCAAUACCAUGGCUCAAUGUUGCGACUAAGAUGGCUUGAUAUAAGACACUAUUGCAACAACUACACCAAUGGGUUGGUGGUGCAUAGCAUGACAUGGGCAAAACACCAACGAACCUUGCAACAAGAUGGAGCCUAACAUGGGCCCAAAUGCUAUGAGCUUGAGCAUCACUGUGGGGAAAGACACACUGAUGAAUUAGAGAGACACGAUUGGAUGGCUGAUGUAAAAUGUUGGUUUAGAAAUCCAUUGGCUCAUAAACACCUUGGUGGGUACUCGUUGACAAGAGGCACCUUAUGAAGAAAAGACACCUUGUUAGGCACUCAUCAUCAGUGGCACUUUGAAGAAGCAAUUUGAAGGAAAUGACUAUCUAAGGACAUUUUGAGGAGUUGCAUCCGAUGGAGAAAAACACAUGAAGUGUAGUAGCCUUGGCUCAGCAUAAAAGGAACAUGAAGAUAAUUGACUAGCUACAAAUGGUGCAAAGAGACACUUCAAUUUGAAAGGUGUCUCCAUAUGUUGCAUAAGCACCAACAAACUCCUAAUUUGAAUUCAAAAUGUAAACUGAAGGCAAUGAGGUAUAAAAGCCUCUUGUAUUUCAAAUAAACACAUAGAGAAAGGUUUGGCAAAAAUGAGAGCAUUGUAUGGUUCUUUGACUCAUGUAUAGGUGUUAAGACACUCAAUCAAAUUUGUAAUAUCUUGUAGUUGAUCAAUAACACAAGUUAAGAAAGGGUUCACAUAUUUGAUUGGCCUCUUUUACGCUGCUUUUGUUGAGCCACUUGGGAAAGGUUGGUUAAGAAAGAGUUCUUAGCACCGCACAUUUAGAAAACAAAUUGGUGGUGAUUUCCUAUGGUGUGACACCCUUCAUUGUUCGUUCACUAGUUUUAUUAUUUUCUUUAUUUCUUAUCAAUUUUAAAAGCGAUAAAAAAGAAAAAAAAUGAAUAAUCUAAAGUAGUAUAAAGUGUACACUCAUAUCUUCCUUGUAUCAUCAAGGACAUGUAUAAAAUUUGAACACAUCGGAUUUGGAUCAAAGAUGUGUCAAGCUCACACCUAAAAAUUAGGUUAAGCCUUGUAAAUUAAUUUAAUUAUGUGAUAAUUAUUGAGCUUGGGGUUGGAUUUCGCCUAAAUCUUAUAUUCGCAACCUAAAGUCUGCCUACCAUUGCAAGGUGGCCUGAGCCUGAUCCAUUUGCAUAUCGACCGAUCUAGAAUACAAAGGCAAGAUAUGAAAGAAUCUACUGUUUGUGACCUUAACCUAUCCAAUAUUAUUCUAAAAAUUGUUUUGUUAUAUUAUUUUUAUCUCUGUAUGGUUUUAUUAUUUAAAAAAUAAUAUGUUGAUUAGGAUAAAAAAUAUUUAAAUUUUAAAUGAAGAAAAAGGUAUUUGUUGGUAAUUCAAUUAAAAACAAAAGAUUUCCAAUUGUCUAAAUUAAUAGAAGAAAUUAACAAUUCUAAUUUAGAAUAUGAGGAAAUAUAUAUUUCAUAAUUUUAAAAUUAAGAAUAUUAUGAAUAUAAAUAGAAAAAUUCAAAUAAAUAAAAACACUAUUUGCCCAUUAUGUGGAAUGGGAUGAGCGAACAAUCCACUUAUAUUUCUGCCUUAAAACUCUUAAAAUUUCUUAUUUCUUUCUUUUUUUCUUUUUUUCUUUAUAUUUUGAACCUCCACUCUUUGUCCAAAUUGAUGCCAUAAACCUAACUCAAAUCAAUGGUGAACUCCUUCGUCUCUUCAUCAUUUCAUUAUUUUUACAGUUAAAAGAAGAGUUGAAAAGUAUUUCAAAUUCUUAAUUAAUAUGAAUUUCUUUUUGUAAAUAAUAUUAUAUAAAUAUUUCCUAAGUUGAUAUAUUAUUAUAAUAUUAUAUUUUCUAAUAGAAUAAGAAAAAUUAUUUGGAAUAUCUCCAUAGAUAUUUUAGGUCAUAAGAGGAAAAAUUUUAUGAGAUGGGACUCAUAAAGACUAUGUGAGGUGGAUAAAGAAUAGGAGAUACAUGAAAGAGUAAGGAACUUGUAGUUAAAUAUGUUUAGGGUGUGGAUAUAAAGAGUAGGGAAAUAUAAAAUGUUUUAGGAACUCAAUAGUUGUAUCUGUUUAUAUUUUUUGUAAUAUUUUUUAUGUUAUAGCGCAGUCAAAUGAUUAUUUCUUAUUUGUAGAUGUAGAUAUGGUUGGUUAAACCAUGUUAAAACUCUAAAUACCUGUGUGUUAAUUGUUUUAUCUUUAUAUUAUUGAAUUAACAUUAUUUGCAUUAAAGCUUUUAUUGGUACAAUAAAUUAGUAUCAAAGCUUUGGUUGAAGAUUUGUGGAAGAACCAUAGAGAAUAGAGCACACAAGAUGAUUAAAAUUCUAUUAUGGAUUAUUUUAUUUACCUUUGUGUGGAUUAUUUUAUCUUUGUGUUAUUGAAUUAACAUUACUUGCAUUAAUGCUUUUACUAGUAUAGAGCUUUGAUUAAAGAUUUGUGGAAAAGUCAAGGAGAAUAGAACACACGAGAUGAUUAAAAGUUUAAUCAUUUUGUGUACUCUAUUCUCGUUAGCUCUUCCACAAGCCUUAAACCAAAGCCCUGAUACCAAUUUGUUGUAUCAACAAAAGUUGUAAUGCAAAUAAUGUUAAUUAAAAAAGGUAAAGAUAAAAUAAUUAAUACGAAAGUAGACAAUGUUUUAGCAUGAUUCGACCAACCAAUGUCUAUAUGAUGAGAGAAAAUCAUUUUACUAUACCAUAAAAAACAAUACAACAAAUAUAAAUCAAAUACAACUAGUGGUUCACAAAACAUUUCAUGUUUCCCCACUUCUUGUAUCUCUAAAUUACAAUCCCUUCACUCAUUUUGAUGUCUCUCAUUCUUUUUCAUAUCUUUAUCCACUUCGUAACCUUUUUCGGCACUUAGCUUAAUUUUUAAUAACUUUUCUUAUGCUAUAAGAAAAUCUUAUAUUAUAAUAAUAUAUUAACUUACAAAAUAUUAUAUAUAAUAUUAGCAAGAAAUUUAUACUAAAUAGUAAUUUAAAACACUUUCCAUCAAGAAACUCCAACGACAUAGCGGUGAUUAGUUUGCCACGUGCCAGAAAAUUCACAACCUCGAAUGGCACCCAACACCCUGUUAAGAGCUCGCGCAAUAGUUGUAAAGAAGACAACACAUGCACGAGUUGGCGGAGGGAGCGAUGGAAAAAAGUGCUUGUUAGAGGAGGCCAGAACAGGCAUUGGCUGUAAAUAAGCCCAAGCAGCCUGCUUCACAGGAGGUUAGAUAUGGGAAUCUGGUAGGCAGAUUGGAUGGUGCAAGGCGCGAGGGAGAUGGUGGGUGAAGAGGGCAUCAAGUCCUUCAAUGAAGUUAGGUUGUGGGUGCUGAAGAAUCCAGAUAUGAGGUGGUGGCGGCAGCGAGGAGUGAGUGGUUGACGGUGGUAAGUAUAGGAUAAUGAAAGAAACAAAAGGAGGAAAAAAUCGACAUUAUUGUAGGGACCCCUCCCUCCGAGAACACGUGGCAUGCAUCUUACAGUGACACGUGACACGCAUUGUCACCCGAGUCACCCUCAUCCGAAUCUUCCUAUAAAGCACACAUGGCAUGCUUUUCCGGACUACCUCAAGGAAGAUCAAACGACACUUAUAAAUAUAUCAUCCGGACGACUCACACAGUACAUCCGGAUGAUCAGCAUAUGUCAUCAGGAUAAAGUGGUCCGGAUCAUUGACUGAAGUAAGCAAGUCUCACACGUUACCACAACAGCCUGUCAUGGCCCACGUUCCGCGGCCUAUAGGGUGAGAGGACAAGAUGAAGUGACAACAAGUCACUUCCCACGAUCUCUGACAGUCGCAUCACCUGCCACGAUCACUGUCAGCCGCCCGUAGGGUGAUGAUGGUCAUGCUGCCACCUAAUGUCAUCAUGACAACAUAAAAUAUCUCACCACCAUUAAUGAGAGGAACAAUACUCCUGGCACUAUAUAUAAACCUUCACACGAAGAGGAAGGUAAGCUCCUGAGAUCUAGAAAAAGGCCAACUGAUUUAUAUCUCCCUCUCUAACCAUGGCUAACAAAAUCAUCGGAGGGUGCGUCCGGACACCCUGUCCGGAUGCCUUUUGCAGGAAUAACGACUGAAUCAAGAACCUUCGUGUGUUGAGAUCGCGUGUCCUUCCAUUUGGCAACUACGUGGAACACCAGGAGCGCGAGGUAUCAACAAUUAUGGACAGUGAAAUAGGGAACAACAAGACAUCCAGUGGCAAGUAUAGGGUCCAGCAUGCUCCUCACUCAUCAUAAGAGCCGCUAAUUAUAUGGUUUGUCUUAUUUAACUCUUUCCCUGAAAACGAACUUCACCAUUCUAAUGGCCAAAUGGAUUAUUCGCAUAUAUAGUCAUAAAACUAGGUCUGUGCUUCAUGUGCUUGACAAUUUCAAUAACCAUACCCUGGAAAAAGAAAAUUGGCUUACCGAAACCAGUCAUAGUUCUCAAUAAAUUCAAGAGCCCUAAAACAGAUACAAAUAAGAUGCAGACUGCAUUUGCAAAUCAACUGUCUCUACACUCUACAGAUUCAGUCAAUAUCACUCAUAACUAGCCUGGAAACAAAACUGACCCAACCCAACCCUCUCCUUUCCCUUUUCCACAACGCACACACAAACUAGAUGCUUUUAUAUCCUCUUUGAUAGUAAAGUGAAUCCUACAUAAAAAUAAAAAAUGCCAUCCAGAAGAAAUCAAUGCAAACAACAACAGGGUUCACAAACCCAGAAAUAAGCAUUCAAGAAAUCUAAAAUACCGACUCACAGGAAUCAAAAGCCGCCUUCUGAACAAUCCCCUCUAGCGUAUCGUAGACCAACUUGCUGUCCACAUGAAACCUCAAGUACCCAUCAAUGGAUGGAGCCAUUUCCAAAACUCCGCCUCGUCUUGCAGGGACAGAGCCGUGUCUUCUCAAAACCCGGAAGCGAAAACUAGGGCCCGUGAGAGAACGGGUAGGCAGCUUGCCUGUAAGGUCGGUGACUUGAAUUAGGGUUUAUUCAGAGGGGACUGGGAUUGAGAAAAGGGGGUCAGCGAAGCCAUUUUUAAAAGAAAUUUUAAGAAAAACAAUAUAGCUUUCCUGGGGAGAGAACGUAAGGAGCUUUUAAAGAAGGAAAACGGUAGUUGGCUUGCAGUAGCGUUUCAAGUGGUCUUGAAGACAAAGCGAUUGAAUAAACAAAGAGUGAGACGUUGAUUGGUGCGUGGGUGUAUCGUCUAAGUGGGGGGUCUUCCUCCUCCUCUGCCUGUCUCCAAUCCUCCAUUGAUGCAGCCUCUACGCUUCCGUUAAUACAUUAUUUAUUCCCAAGCUUUCAUUGGGUGCCACAUACGACGUCGUUUUUAUCUCUGCAUUGAUUGGCGGUGUGGGGUGGCGAAUCAGAUAAGAGCGACACGACGUCGUUUUCCCAUUUUCCCCUUCACCAUUUCCUUUUUUUUUUAUUUUUUUCUCUAUGACGUUCGACAUGUAUCGCGCGCCCGCACCCCCCCCCCCCCCCCCACCCACACACACACACGCUGAGGUGGCAGACCAUAAAAAGCAGUACCAAAAAAGGCCAAAGCCUUGGUAGGGAUUCAAUAAGUCUAGUACUAAUAAUGUCACGUUUAUUAAUUAUAUUAAAUAUAAUUAAUGAAAUAACUUAAUAUCUUAAUAGUCUUAAUUGCUAAUGUUUUUGGAAGAAUUAUUUUUUUGGGUAGAUGGACCCCCAAAUUAACAAAAGGUCCAUAUAACUCUUCAAAUUGAGUUAAAGGAUAUGAAAAACAAAUAUACCCUUUAAGAACACAUAUAAAAUAUUUUAUAAAAUUAAGUUAAAUAAUUUUUUUUUUCAAAAAUAUUAAAUUAAAUAAAAAUAGUUUUCAAAAAUAUUAAAUUAAAUUAAAGUAUUUAAAAAAAUGUUAAAUUAAAUUUUUUUUAAAUAUUAAAUUAAAUAAAUUUAUUUUUAAAAAAUAUUAAAUUAAAUAAAUUUAUUUUUAAAAAAUAUGAAAUUAAAUAAAAGUAUUUUAAAAAUUAUUAAAUUACUAAAAGUAUUUUUAAAAAAUAUUAAAUUAAAUAAAAGUAUUUUUUAAAAAUAUUAAUUUUUUUUCUCAAAAUCAACAAAGGGCAUUUUUGGAAAUACUGAAGGAUGAUAUCCUUCAACUCAAUUUCCAUAUUUUUAUUGGGUCUUGGGCUCAAUUAAAGAGUUAUAUGGACCUUUUGUUAAUUUGGGAGCCCAUCUACCCCCAAAACAUAAUUCUCCUAAUGUUUUUUUCAUCUCCUAUUUAUUUCUUAUGACCUCGUUGCUUAACAUGAAAGGAAAGUAAAUAUGUCUGCAAAUUUAGAAAAAAAUUAUUUAAAGACAUUUUAUCAAACAAUCUUACCAUCAAAAAUAAAAAUUAUAUAAUAAAUUAUAAAUUACCAACUUAAGCAUAACUUGAAAUAAUCUUAAAUAAAUAGGUAUUAAAUUUUAUGAAAGGACUGCAUUGAAAAUGAUUAAUAAGCUGAAAAAUAUCAUAUUAAAUACAAAAUAUUUUAUUUUCUAUAAAUCCAAUGUAUAUUUAAUUCAAAUUGGUAUAUAUUGGAGUUGGGUGGGUGCCCAAGUCGAGUUGACCCAACCCAGUCAUACAUAAUAAGAGAUAAAGAGGGAGUAGUUUCUGAGAGUUGAAAAUCGUCACAAACUGUCGAGUAAUCAACCCAAUUAAAUAAAUAAAAAUAAAAAUAAAUAUCUCUCCUUUUUCCACACUUCUACUUUUUCUCUAUAAAAAAAGAUUGAGAUAACUUGAAAAUAAUUUUUUUUUUAUAAAAUGUGAAAAAUAUUUUAUGCUGUAAAAUAAUGUGAUUUUCGAUUUUAAUGUGUUUCUAUUUAAAACUUAGACGAAGAAUUAAAUGGUGAAACAACUGUUUUUGUAUCUUGGACUUUUCUAAAUGUAAUUCGAAGAUAUCCAACAAUAUAAAAUUUAUUCAAUUUCAAGUCCACAUGCAUAUCCCAAAAAGUUUGGAAAGAAAUUAUAUAUAUACAUAUGAUAGUACCUAAAAUAAAAUACUUUCUUUUCAUGAUAUAAAUGCAAAAUACAUUACAUAUUUAAUUUCAAAUGCUAUUUGUCAACUCACAUUUUCUUUUCAUAAUUAAGCGGAAUGUUUAAUUUAAAAUUGUCAAUAAAUUCUAGCUUCAUUUUUAUAAAUGGGUAGGGUUUGAUUGAAUGUAUUAAAGAUAAGAAAUCGAAUUAAUCUUGAAUAUUGUUUUCGUAAGUGUUCAAUUUCUUGAUGUACAAGUACUGGAACAUGUGGGGUAAAGCUCAAUGGGGCAGUCACGAGGCAUGAUUCCCUGCAGCUGAUUCGAUUCAAUAAUAGAGAAAUGAUGAAGCAGUACUCCAAUUUUCAGAAGCCAUGCAUGAAUGGGCUUGUGAGACAAGCUUCAAUUUAGAAAUGGGGUCAUUUUCAAUACAGUUAUUGCGUGAAGCUUUGGUGCUUCCAAUUGGCUCCAAACCCAACUCACAACUCAAAACUUAAGCUCCUAAAGCAAGUGAUUUUUGUUUUUUAGUUUGUCAAAGAUAAUAAAUACAGAUUUUUUGUUUUUGUGAAAACAUUUGAACUCACACUUUUGUUGUUACUAUAAUUUUCUCGACAAAAAUACAAAUUUUGUAACAAUAUUUUUAGAUUUCGUAAGUAUUGAUCAUAUUUAGCAACUCUAAUAUAAUUUUAUUUUUAUUUAAAAAAGAAAAAAAGAAAAUAUACUAUGGAGUAUGGACUGGACACUGGAAAGUGCACCUAUUUUCAUUAAUAGAAAGCGGAAAAGGAUAUCCAUGACCGCAUGCUGCUUAUUAUAUGGAAGUGGGAGAGUCAGGGCUCCCCCUUGGCCUGGUCAUGGCUCCUAUGGCAUACAUUAUAUGUAUAUACUAUAUACUAUUACAUUUUAAUAUUCUAUUUCAUUUGAUUCGAUGGAUUGAUUGAACCUUGCGCAUGUCUUUCGAAUCUGUCCUUGAGUACCAGUCUUGACCCCGAUGCUACUCAUUUUAAUCAUGGCUUUUGGAAACUCAAAAUAAAAUCUAAGCCCCAGUAAGCCUUUUCCGUUACCAGCAUAAUUCUUAACGAUUCUCUGGGUUUCGCUAUCUCCAAAAAGCCUUUGAUCGGACUCCAGGACUCCAUUCCCAUCCCGCACAUUCUUGAAGAAACUGACAUCGAAUUUGAACUGGCUAUCUUUAUCCAGCGGCACCCCCUUUUUGGAGACAUCGCCACCAACAUCAGGACAAAGGGCUCGCAGCUGAGCCAGGAAAGCUUGGUUUAUUGUUGGGUCUGCAUUUCCCUUUGCCGUGAAGUUGUAGAGACGGUAUUCAAAGGACGAACAGUCCGUUAGUCCAAUGGUGUGUGCCCCUGCACAAACAUAUAUUCUGAACCAAACAUGCAUAUAUGCCAUCUAAUUAUCAAACUUUCUUUUUUUUUUUUUAUGGAUAAAUCAAAGAAAAAGAAAAUAUAUACCAAUUAGUGUUACAAGGUCGUGAUUGUUGAGGCCUUUAGCAGCAAACUUCUCUCUUAGGACAGGAAUAGAAUCAGUAGGAACAGGUAAAGUAAGGUUCUCCGGGGAUACACCAAAUGAGAGCCUCCCAUCUCGUCUUCCUGUGGGCACUGGCCAACUUGGACCACCACUCUGGACAUGUUUUAAAACAAAAUUAAUUGGCUUACCCCCUUGAUCACCACCAAAUAUACUUCACUAGGGUUUAUAUUAUGUUUGAUGAAGAGUACUUUACCAAGCCAACAGCAUCACGAGCAGCAAGUGCCAGUAUAUCAGCACAUGAUACCACCCCGGGGCACAAGGUCUCCAGUUGAGUUUUGGCGUCAUCUAUCACACCAAAUCCUCGUAUUUCUGUGUCAGUCAAUGCAUCUAUCUCACUUACUAAACCAUCGCAGCCCUGUUCAGAUCAAUCAAUUGAAGGUCUAUGAUCAAUUAAUAUAAGUAAACAUGGAAGAAGAAGAAAAAGAAGAAAAAGAACCUGAAAAAAGCAAUCUUUGAAAUGAAGCUUGAGAACGCCCGCUGCAAUUGUAGGAUCCUUCUUGAAAUGCGUUACAACAGUAGAACUGACUAUGGCCUCAGCCUUUGGGCAUGAAGAAGAGUAAAACCCGGGUAUCAAUCCUUGUUGGGUUUCUCCAAACCAACUUAACCCCAGAAUCACUACCAACAAAACCAGCCAUUUGGGUUCCAUUUGCACCAUUAACAAAUAAGAAUAGAAGCAAAACUCUCAGUUGGCUCUCCUCUCUAUCUCCUCACUACAAACCUUGCACGUUCAGUACUACUGAGUAUCAAUCUUAUAUGGAUUCGGCCAAGCAGAUUUUUGCUUGUUGCUUUCAGUCAUUCAUUCUGAGCUUCUCAACACUCCACAAUCCUUUAGUGGAGACGCGCGGGGGCCAUUAAAGAUGGUGAUGACCAUCUUCCUUUUUGGACUUUUGUCUGUGUAGAGUUAGGAGAUGGAUAAUUUUCACUUUCAAUAUAUAUCAUAUCAUAUACAUUGGAAGUUCCCUCUCAUCCAUGAUUCCUUUGAUUUAUUCCUCCUAGAUGCGUUGGACAUCUUUUUCUCUCAGUUUCUUUGUCUUCUCUUUCUUCCUUUUUCCCUUCCAUUUCUUCACUCUGUUCAUACGUAGCUUCAGUUUGAUGAACCUGCAUACAUGGAUCAACUUUUUACAAAUAUACCACUGAAUUCAAUCCAAAAGAUGUACUUUCAAAUGAAGGUUGAAGUGUGUACAUAUGUGAAAGGAAAUGGGGGAAAGAGGGCAUGUAACCAACCAAAAGAGAAGUGACACUAGUGGGAUUUUCAUGAUGAAUGUGGCCCUCUAUCAGCCCGUUAGACCUUUGACUCGGAAGGUGGAACAAAGGGCCUCUUGGGUUGGCCUUGCAUCCAUGGGACCAUAGGAGGAAAGCAAGGAGAACCUAGAAAUUUGAUGAGAGGACCCUCAAGAAGCUAAGUGAGGAAGCAAAAACGGAUGCUAGUAGGCCACGCAUGCACAGGCCACGUGCACACCUUCAUGCACCCCCGCAUGCACGCUCGCACACAUGCCCGUGUGCACCUGCACACAUUCCUGCACUUUUUCAAUGCCUUAGGCUGCAGCUUUUGAAAAUUUCAAUUAUGCUUGAUGAAAGCCUUUCAGAACUAGUGUUUUCCCAUUACACCCAUUUGUAAUUUUGUUAAACUUAUUAUGGAUGCCUAUUUAUGUUAAGGGUCUAUACAUCUUUUUCAUUCACAAUAUAUAUAAUAGGAUUGGAGGUUUUGAGCCAAGCCUGCUGCUUGUUACAUCAAUUUUGUCUAACUAACGUUUCAUUUGUCCUGUGGCGUGAUAUCAAUCUGUUGGCUAAUAGCUGGUUUGGAAUAUACAUUGCCUGAGCAACAUCAAUGACGAAGUGUUUGAUGGAACCACAACUCUUUAUGGUCCAUUGAAUGAGUCUGUGUUGGUUAGGCAAAUUUAUUCAAUUGGCAUUUCGACUAUUGUUCUCAGCUUAUAGUCAUGCAAGACUAAAAAUUCGUCUUUCG